CUCUUUGUUAUGCAUGGACAAGAUAAUAUGAGCUUCUGAUUUCCUUAGGGUGUCAUCACGUGAGCAGCCUGAAGGCAUGUGAUUUUGGAGCAUGUAUAUUUCCGGCCCUUCCAAGCGAAACCACCACAUUGCACAGGAGAGACAAAAGAAGCCAGCAGCGAAGGGGUUAAAGAAAUGCUACUAGUGACUUAAGUCAUCAGCAAGAGGGAAAUUCAGACUGAACAACGAAAAGCUGACAUUUCAUUGGCUUCAAACCAUGGAGCGAGUAGCAACCAAAUAACAAGGCACAAGAGAACUCUCAC
Mauremys reevesii (Reeves's turtle) is the source of this 302-nucleotide long non-coding RNA. RefSeq lists it as uncharacterized. The transcript has 3 exons. Lineage: Eukaryota; Metazoa; Chordata; Testudines; Geoemydidae. The record is from RefSeq and is a predicted model, not a curated record.